RNAcentral lists this ribosomal RNA (442 nucleotides) under uncultured bacterium. RNAcentral's name for it is "bacterial SSU rRNA". It matches the Rfam family "Bacterial small subunit ribosomal RNA", at positions 360 to 793 of the family's 1533-position model. The record is from RNAcentral.
AAUCUUCCACAAUGGGCGCAAGCCUGAUGGAGCAACACCGCGUGAGUGAAGAAGGGUUUCGGCUCGUAAAGCUCUGUUGUUUAAAGAAGAACACGUAUGAGAGUAACUGUUCAUACGUUGACGGUAUUUAACCAGAAAGUCACGGCUAACUACGUGCCAGCAGCCGCGGUAAUACGUAGGUGGCAAGCGUUAUCCGGAUUUAUUGGGCGUAAAGAGAGUGCAGGCGGUUUUCUAAGUCUGAUGUGAAAGCCUUCGGCUUAACCGGAGAAGUGCAUCGGAAACUGGAUAACUUGAGUGCAGAAGAGGGUAGUGGAACUCCAUGUGUAGCGGUGGAAUGCGUAGAUAUAUGGAAGAACACCAGUGGCGAAGGCGGCUACCUGGUCUGCAACUGACGCUGAGACUCGAAAGCAUGGGUAGCGAACAGGAUUAGAUACCCUGGUAG